Molecule: ribosomal RNA, 468 nt
Filed under: uncultured bacterium
Lineage: Bacteria
Description: partial 16S ribosomal RNA
Rfam family: Bacterial small subunit ribosomal RNA
Source: RNAcentral
GACGAACGCUGGCGGCGUGCUUAACACAUGCAAGUCGAACGGAAAGGCCCUGCUUUUGUGGGGUGCUCGAGUGGCGAACGGGUGCGUAACACGGGAGUAACCUGCCUUUGACUUUGGGAUAACUUCAGGAAACUGGGGCUAAUACCGGAUAGGAGCUCCUGCUGCAUGGUGGGGGUUGGAAAGUUUCGGCGGUUGGGGAUGGACUCGCGGCUUAUCAGCUUGUUGGUGGGGUAGUGGCUGACCAAGGCUUUGACGGGUAGCCGGCCUGAGAGGGUGACCGGCCACAUUGGGACUGGGAUACGGCCCAGACUCCUACGGGAGGCAGCAGUGGGGAGUAUUGCACAAUGGGCGGAGGCCUGAUGCAGCAACGCCGCGUGCGGGAUGACGGCCUUCGGGUUGUAAACCGCUUUCGCCUGUGACGAAGCGUGAGUGACGGUAAUGGGUAAAGAAGCACCGGCUAACUACGUG